AUUGAACGCUGGCGGCAUGCCUUACACAUGCAAGUCGAACGGCAACGCCGUGGCUUGCACCUGGGGGCGAGUGGCGAACGGGUGAGUAAUGCAUCAGAACCCACCCCGUAGUGGGGGAUAACUAUCCGAAAGGAGAGCUUAUACCCCAUAUUCUACGACUAGGAAAGCGGGGGAUCUUCGAGACCUCCCGCUCUGGGAGCGGCCAACGUCAGAUUAUCUAGUUGGUGGGGUAAAGGCCUACCACCGCUACUAUCUGUAGCGGGCCUGAUAGGAUGAUCCCCCGCCCUGGGACUGAUACACUGCCCACACUCCUACUGGAGGCAGCAGUGGGGAAUUUUGGACAAUGGGGGCAACCCUGAUCCUGCCAUGCCGCGUGAGGGAAGAAGGCCUUCUGGUUGUAAAGCUCUUUCUGCCGGGAAGAAAUCGCCAUCUCUAAUAUAGGGGGUGGAUGACCGCACCGGAAUAACAAGCACCGGCUAACUACGUGCCAUCAGCCGCGAUAAUACGUAGGGUGCGAGCGUUAAUCAGAAUUACUGGGCGUACAACCUGCGCAGGCGUUUUUUCAAGAUAGGCAUGAAAUCACCGGGCUUAACCUGGGAACUGCGCUUAUGACUGGAAAACUAGAGUACGGGAGAGGGGGGUGGAAUUCCACGUGUAGCAGUGAAAUGCGUAUAUAUGUGGAGGAACACCGAUGGGCAAGGCAGCCCCCUGGGCCGAUACUGACGGUCAUACACGAAAGGGUGGGGAGCAAACAGGAUUAGAUACCCUGGUAGUCCACGCCCUAAACGAUGUCAACUAGGUGGUGGGGGGGUAAAACCAUUUAGUAACGUAGCUAACGCGUGAAGUUGACCGCCUGGGGAGUACGGCCGCAAGGUUAAAACUCAAAGGAAUUGACGGGGACCCGCACAAGCGGGGGAUGAUGUGGAUUAAUUCGAUGCAACGCGAAAAACCUUACCUACCCUUGACAUGUUCAGAAUCCCGGAGAGAUUUGGGAGUGCCCGAAAGGGAGCUGGAACACAGGUGCAGCAUGGCUGUCCUCAGCUCGUGGCGUGAGAUGUUGGGUUAAGUCCCGCAACGAGCGCCACCCUUGUCGUUAAUCGCCAUCAUUUAGGUGGGCACUUUAACGAGACUGCCGGUGACAAUCCGGAGGAAGGUGGGGAUGACGUCAAGUCCUCAUGGCCCUUAUGGGUAGGGCUUCACACCUCAUACAAUGGUCGGUACAGAGGGUUGCCAAGCCGGGAGGUGGAGCCAUUUCCAGAAACCCGAUUGUAGUCCGGAUGGCAUGUUGCAAUUGGCCUGCAGGAAUUGGGAAUCGUUAGUAAUCGCGGAUCAGCAUGUCGCGGUGAAUACGUUCCCGGGUCU
This 1362-nucleotide ribosomal RNA is filed under the name uncultured bacterium. RNAcentral describes it as "bacterial SSU rRNA". It matches the Rfam family "Bacterial small subunit ribosomal RNA", at positions 28 to 1381 of the family's 1533-position model. The record is from RNAcentral.